GGAUUAGAUACCCUGGUAGUCCUAACCGUAAACGGUGAGCACUAUAUGAUGGAUGGUUCUGACUGUUCAUUGUAGUAGCUAAUGCGUUAAGUGCUCCGCCUGGGUAGUACGAUCGCAAGGUUGAAACUCAAAGGAAUUGACGGGGGCUCACACAAGCGGUGGAGCAUGUUGCUUAAUUCGAAGCAACGCGAAGAACCUUACCUGGGCUUGAACUGUAGGGAUUAUCUCUAUGAAAGUAGAGUACGCCAACCGGUGGAACCUAUAGAGGUGUUGCAUGGCUGUCGUCAGCUCGUGCCG
RNAcentral lists this ribosomal RNA (297 nucleotides) under uncultured bacterium. RNAcentral's name for it is "partial 16S ribosomal RNA". It matches the Rfam family "Bacterial small subunit ribosomal RNA", at positions 775 to 1067 of the family's 1533-position model. The record is from RNAcentral.